Molecule: small RNA, 27 nt
Filed under: Bombyx mori (domestic silkworm)
Lineage: Eukaryota; Metazoa; Arthropoda; Insecta; Lepidoptera; Bombycidae
Description: ovarian small RNA-10042
Source: RNAcentral
AAAGAAACUAACAAAAAUAGUGCUCAG